Molecule: transfer RNA, 71 nt
Filed under: Loxodonta africana (African savanna elephant)
Lineage: Eukaryota; Metazoa; Chordata; Mammalia; Proboscidea; Elephantidae
Rfam family: tRNA
About the family: Transfer RNA (tRNA) molecules are approximately 80 nucleotides in length. Their secondary structure includes four short double-helical elements and three loops (D, anti-codon, and T loops).
Source: Rfam by way of RNAcentral
GCAUUUGUGGUUCAGUGGUAGAAUUCUCUCCUUCCAUGCAGGAGACCAGGGUUCAAGUCCUGGCCAAUGCG